RNAcentral lists this ribosomal RNA (509 nucleotides) under uncultured bacterium. RNAcentral's name for it is "bacterial SSU rRNA". It matches the Rfam family "Bacterial small subunit ribosomal RNA", at positions 395 to 917 of the family's 1533-position model. The record is from RNAcentral.
UCUCGCGUGAGGGAUGACGGCCUAUGGGUUGUAAACCUCUUUUUUCAGGGAGGAAUCAAUGACGUGUACCUGAAGAAUAAGCAUCGGCUAACUCCGUGCCAGCAGCCGCGGUAAGACGGAGGAUGCAAGUGUUAUCCGGAAUCACUGGGCGUAAAGCGUCUGUAGGUGGUUUAAUAAGUCAACUGUUAAAUCUUGAAGCUUAACUUCAAAAUCGCAGUCGAAACUAUUAGACUAGAGUAUAGUAGGGGUAAAGGGAAUUUCCAGUGGAGCGGUGAAAUGCGUAGAGAUUGGAAAGAACACCGAUGGCGAAGGCACUUUACUGGGCUAUUACUAACACUGAGAGACGAAAGCUAGGGUAGCAAAUGGGAUUAGAUACCCCAGUAGUCCUAGCCGUAAACAAUGGAUACUAGAUGUUGAACAGAUCGACCUGUGCAGUAUUAAAGCUAACGCGUUAAGUAUCCCGCCUGGGAAGUAUGCUCGCAAGAGUGAAACUCAAAGGAAUUGACGGA